AGAGUUUGAUCCUGGCUCAGAGUGAACGCUGGCGGCAUGCCUAACACAUGCAAGUCGAACGGUAACGGGCCCGCAAGGGUGCCGACGAGUGGCGGACGGGUGAGGAAUACAUCGGAAUUUGCCCAGUCGUGGGGGAUAACGUAGGGAAACUUACGCUAAUACCGCAUACGACCUAACGGUGAAAGCGGGGGAUCGCAAGACCUCGCGCGGAUGGAUAAGCCGAUGUCGGAUUAGCUAGUUGGCGGGGUAAAGGCCCACCAAGGCGACGAUCCGUAGCUGGUCUGAGAGGAUGAUCAGCCACACUGGGACUGAGACACGGCCCAGACUCCUACGGGAGGCAGCAGUGGGGAAUAUUGGACAAUGGGGGCAACCCUGAUCCAGCAAUGCCGCGUGUGUGAAGGAGGCCUUCGGGUUGUAAAGCACUUUUAUCAGGAACGAAACACGCAGUUUUAAUACAGCUGCGGACUGACGGUACCUGAGGAAUAAGCACCGGCUAACUUCGUGCCAGCAGCCGCGGUAAUACGAAGGGUGCAAGCGUUACUCGGAAUUACUGGGCGUAAAGGGUGCGUAGGUGGUUCUUUAAGUCUGCUGUGAAAUCCCCGGGCUCAACCUGGGAAUGGCAGUGGAUACUGGAGAGCUAGAGUGCGGUAGAGGGUAGUGGAAUUCCCGGUAGCAGUGAAAUGCGUAGAGAUCGGGAGGAACACCAGUGGCGAAGGCGGCUACCUGGACCAGCAUUGACACUCAAGCACGAAAGCGUGGGGAGCAAACAGGAUUAGAUACCCUAGUAGUCC
RNAcentral lists this ribosomal RNA (791 nucleotides) under uncultured bacterium. RNAcentral describes it as "bacterial SSU rRNA". It matches the Rfam family "Bacterial small subunit ribosomal RNA", at positions 8 to 796 of the family's 1533-position model. The record is from RNAcentral.